RNAcentral lists this ribosomal RNA (505 nucleotides) under uncultured bacterium. Its description in RNAcentral is "partial 16S ribosomal RNA". It matches the Rfam family "Bacterial small subunit ribosomal RNA", at positions 28 to 507 of the family's 1533-position model. The record is from RNAcentral.
GACGAACGCUGGCGGCGUGCUUAACACAUGCAAGUCGAACGGGCCUUGUCCCCUUUUUUUGGGGGUGGGGUUAGUGGCGAACGGGUGAGUAACACGUGGGUAACCUGCCCUCACUUCUGGAUAACCGCUUGAAAGGGUGGCUAAUACGGGGUGUUCUGGCCUGCUCGCAUGGGUGGGUUUGGAAAGAUUCGACCGGUUUUGGUUGUUUUGGUGGGGGAUGGGCUCGCGGCCUAUCAGCUUGUUGGUGGGGUGAUGGCCUGCCAAGGCUUUGACGGGUAGCCGGCCUGAGAGGGUGGGCGGUCACACUGGGACUGAGACACGGCCCAGACUCCUACGGGAGGCAGCAGUGGGGAAUAUUGCACAAUGGGCGCAAGCCUGAUGCAGCGACGCCGCGUGAGGGAUGGAGGCCUUCGGGUUGUGAACCUCUUUCGCCAGUGAAGAAGGUCCUGCUCUUUGUGGUGGGGUUGACGGUAGCUGGGUUAAUGAAGCGCCGGCUAACUACGUG